ACAUUUCUGCUUUCGGAGGCCGGGCCUUUGCUGGACAGCAGCCCUCGAGAAUCCCCUAGGCCUCCCCCUUCCUUCCUUCCUUCCUUCCUUCCUUCCUUCCUUCCUUCCUUCCUUCCUUCCUUCCUUCCUUCCUUCCUUCCACCAUGCAACACGGUCUUCCCUGCCUUGCCCUGUGCGGUAAUUUUUACGGAGGACUCGCGGCCUUCACUCCUGGGUCGUUGGCUGCAAAACCAGCCCCAAGGUUGCGUCCACCUUAAGCCUGCCCUGACAUGUUUCUCUUCUUGCAGUCUUGGGGUCAAACAAAACGCGUGGCUUCCCUUUCAGGAGCCUCCAGGAUCCGCUGUCGGAGUCGCCUGGAUGUCCCUCUAUCCCUCCUCGGUGCUGCGAUCUUUGCCAUUUCUCCCCAGAUAACACCGGCAAGCGACUGGAUUCCUCCCCGGCUCCCCCCGCGAUGGCUUGGCGUGGAAACGGGGGUAGAAGGAGAACCGAGGCCGCAGGAUCCGCCGGCUGAGAAGGCGGAGGCGAUUGCGGGGUUUCAGCCCGCCGUCGAUCAAAGCCUGGACAGGUUCCUCCGCCCGCAGCAGGAGCAAAGAAGGGAGGUCAAGGGCCCGGGAGUAGCCCGGGAGGGAGGUUAUCUCGGGGGACUUCCACCCGCUCCCUCUCGCUCUCCCUCUCGGUCUGGCUCUUUCUCUCAUCCCCCUCAUCCUUCUGCGCACUCCCCCGCCCCGUCCGCAGCCCAGAGCCGUCUUGGCUAUCGAGCCGACACCCUGGCGCAGCCGGUGGAAGGAAGGCUCCAUCUCUGGCAACAGAACCACACAUCUGCCUCCCGCCCCACCCCUCCCCUCCUCGGGGGCCUCAGGAGGGGAGGAGGGGGCGGCUGGCUGCCUGCCUGCCUGCCUGCCUGCCUCGGUGGGGGAGCAGGCGCGAUCUCUCCCGAAGAAAGAUGCUUUUCAGAGCUCUCUCACCUCCGCCCGACGCGUCUCGCGAGGAAAAGGAUGAAAAGAACCAGGGUCGAUUCUCCCGAGACUCCUUUGGGAAGGUCCCCUCCGGAGCCUACUUCCUCGCCAGGCUUUGAAGGGAGUCCGCGCCCGGUGCUCGUGCGCUCGCCUGCUCCGAGGCGCCCUGAGGGGCCAAGAGAUGAUUAAAAGCAAUGGCUGCUUGGGAAAAAGGAGAACGUGGGAACCAGGGCUGAUCAGAGUCACCAAGCCUGUAGAAGAAAAUCUUCCUUCCUUCCUUCCUUCC
Molecule: long non-coding RNA, 1242 nt
Filed under: Pogona vitticeps (central bearded dragon)
Lineage: Eukaryota; Metazoa; Chordata; Lepidosauria; Squamata; Agamidae
Description: lncRNA (ENSPVIG00000023894.1)
Source: RNAcentral